RNAcentral lists this non-coding RNA (30 nucleotides) under Rattus norvegicus (Norway rat). The record is from RNAcentral. Lineage: Eukaryota; Metazoa; Chordata; Mammalia; Rodentia; Muridae.
UCUUCUUUGAGCAUGACUACUAAUAAACCA